AGUGAACGCUGGCGGUAGGCCUAACACAUGCAAGUCGAACGGCAGCACAGGAGAGCUUGCUCUCUGGGUGGCGAGUGGCGGACGGGUGAGGAAUACAUCGGAAUCUACUCUGUCGUGGGGGAUGACGUAGGGAAACUUACGCUAAUACCGCAUACGACCUACGGGUGAAAGCAGGGGAUCUUCGGACCUUGCGCGAUUGAAUGAGCCGAGGUCGGAUUAGCUAGUUGGCGGGGUAAAGGCCCACCAAGGCGACGAUCCGUAGCUGGUCUGAGAGGAUGAUCAGCCACACUGGAACUGAGACACGGUCCAGACUCCUACGGGAGGCAGCAGUGGGGAAUAUUGGACAAUGGGCGCAAGCCUGAUCCAGCCAUACCGCGUGGGUGAAGAAGGCCUUCGGGUUGUAAAGCCCUUUUGUUGGGAAAGAAAUCCAGCUGGCUAAUACCCGGUUGGGAUGACGGUACCCAAAGAAUAAGCACCGGCUAACUUCGUGCCAGCCGCCGCGGUAA
Molecule: ribosomal RNA, 506 nt
Filed under: uncultured bacterium
Lineage: Bacteria
Description: partial 16S ribosomal RNA
Rfam family: Bacterial small subunit ribosomal RNA
Source: RNAcentral